This 294-nucleotide ribosomal RNA is filed under the name uncultured bacterium. RNAcentral describes it as "partial 16S ribosomal RNA". It matches the Rfam family "Bacterial small subunit ribosomal RNA", at positions 333 to 643 of the family's 1533-position model. The record is from RNAcentral.
GGACCUACGGGAGGCAGCAGUGGGGGAUAUUGCACAAUGGGGGAAACCCUGAUGCAGCGACGCCGCGUGAGUGAAGAAGUAUUUCGGUAUGUAAAGCUCUGUCAGCAGGGAAGAAAGAAAUGACGGUACCUGACCAAGAAGCCCCGGCUAACUACGUGCCAGCAGCCUCGGUAAUACGUAGGGGGCAAGCGUUAUCCGGAAUUACUGGGUGUAAAGGGAGCGUAGACGGUGAUGCAAGUCUGGAGUGAAAGGCGGGGGCCCAACCCCCGGACUGCUCUGGAAACUGUAUGACUU